AUUGAACGCUGGCGGCAUACCUUACACAUGCAAGUCGAACGGCAGCACGGGAGCAAUCCUGGUGGCGAGUGGCGAACGGGUGAGUAAUAUAUCGGAACGUGCCCGGUCGUGGGGGAUAACGUAGCGAAAGCUACGCUAAUACCGCAUACGAUCUACGGAUGAAAGCGGGGAUCGCAAGACCUCGCGCGAUUGGAGCGGCCGAUAUCAGAUUAGGUAGUUGGUGAGGUAAAGGCUCACCAAGCCGACGAUCUGUAGCUGGUCUGAGAGGACGACCAGCCACACUGGGACUGAGACACGGCCCAGACUCCUACGGGAGGCAGCAGUGGGGGAAUUUUGGACAAUGGGCGCAAGCCUGAUCCAGCAAUGCCGCGUGCAGGAUGAAGGCCUCGGUUGG
RNAcentral lists this ribosomal RNA (394 nucleotides) under uncultured bacterium. RNAcentral's name for it is "bacterial SSU rRNA". It matches the Rfam family "Bacterial small subunit ribosomal RNA", at positions 29 to 426 of the family's 1533-position model. The record is from RNAcentral.